Molecule: long non-coding RNA, 727 nt
Filed under: Phaseolus vulgaris (common bean)
Lineage: Eukaryota; Viridiplantae; Streptophyta; Magnoliopsida; Fabales; Fabaceae
Description: long non-coding RNA (PVUL_LNC000826)
Source: RNAcentral
GUAAGGAGAAUUAAGGAGAAUAAAGUUUCAAUUCAUAAAGGAGGUUGAAAGUUAAUUUUUUCCAUCAACAAAUGCAACAUUUUUGUUAUUUUGCUGAAUUUUUGUCUCAUUAUUCAACAUUCUAUCACGGUCACCCCUUUAAGUUUCAGCAGCAAAUAACUCUUUUUUCCUGGUUGAAUCUCCUUUUAUGACUUGUAUAGACGAAGAUGUAGAAUCGUGAUAGGAUUUUCCAGUUUCUUUGGUUGACUCAGAUCCAAACCCAUAAACCUUACCUUUGUUAAUUCUAGCAACUUUACACCAAAGAGUAAUUCAUCAGGUGGAGACACUCUUACAUCAGAUAUUGAUUGGGAUGCUUGCUUUUCCCAUGCACAAGUAUAUUUUGCCUAUGAACAUCAGAGUCCUGUUAACCAAACAAAACAAUUAUGUUGCAUUAAUAGAACGGAUUUUUUAAAUAAGUAAAUUUUGAAGAUGUAAUGACUUGAUAAAUCUUUAAUUGAUACAAGAGAACAACAAAAAAAAACUUUGGAAUUUUCUGCCAAAACCUUGUUUGUUUUAUUGUUUUGGCAGAGAUUAAUGGAUGCUAGCUAAGAAGUUCCUCAUUUUUGCAUAAAUUGUAUAUGCUCGGACUCUGUCAAGACUGAUAUAAACCAUAACCAAGACUUGUUAAGCAUUGAUGAAGGUGUCGAAAAUCCUGUUAGGCUAGCAUUGUUGUCUGAUCAUGGUCCUC